GAUGAACGCUAGCUACAGGCUUAACACAUGCAAGUCGAGGGGCAGCGCAGUGUAGCAAUACACGGGCGGCGACCGGCGCACGGGUGCGUAACGCGUAUCCAACCUUCCCGAUACUCAGGGAUAGCCCUUCCGAAAGGGAGAUUAAUACCUGAUGGUGUUUCAAUUCCGCAUGUUAAUGAAACUAAAGAUUUAUCGGUAUCGGAUGGGGAUGCGUGACAUUAGAUAGUAGGCGGGGUAACGGCCCCACCUAGUCUACGAUGUCUAGGGGGUUCCUGAGAGGGAAGGUUCCCCCCCACACCUGGAACUGAGACACGGUCCAGACUCCUACGGGAGGCAGCAGUG
RNAcentral lists this ribosomal RNA (342 nucleotides) under uncultured bacterium. RNAcentral describes it as "bacterial SSU rRNA". It matches the Rfam family "Bacterial small subunit ribosomal RNA", at positions 28 to 356 of the family's 1533-position model. The record is from RNAcentral.